UCCCAGGUGGCUCAGUGGAAAAGAAUCUGCCUGCCAAUGCAGGAGACCUGGGUUCGAUCCCUGGGCUGGGAA
RNAcentral lists this transfer RNA (72 nucleotides) under Ovis aries (sheep). It matches the Rfam family "tRNA". From Rfam's summary of the family: Transfer RNA (tRNA) molecules are approximately 80 nucleotides in length. Their secondary structure includes four short double-helical elements and three loops (D, anti-codon, and T loops). Lineage: Eukaryota; Metazoa; Chordata; Mammalia; Artiodactyla; Bovidae. The record is from Rfam by way of RNAcentral.